GUACGAAGGGGGCUAGCAGUUGCUCGGAAUCACUGGGCUAAGCGGCACGUAGGGCGGCUUUCUAAGUCAGGGGUGAAAUCCUGGAGCUCAACUCCAGAACUGCCUUUGAUACUGGAGAGCUAGAGUCCGGAAGAGGUGAGUGGAACUGCGAGUGUAGAGGUGAAAUUCGUAGAUAUUCGCAAGAACACCAGUGGCGAAGGCGGCUCACUGGUCCGGUACUGACGCUGAGGUGCGAAAGCGUGGGGAGCAAACAGG
RNAcentral lists this ribosomal RNA (255 nucleotides) under uncultured bacterium. RNAcentral describes it as "partial 16S ribosomal RNA". It matches the Rfam family "Bacterial small subunit ribosomal RNA", at positions 523 to 776 of the family's 1533-position model. The record is from RNAcentral.